CGUGUAGGCGGUCUUUUAAGUCUGAUGUGAAAGCCCCGGGCUCAACCUGGGAAGUGCAUUGGAAACUGGGAGACUUGAAUACGGGAGAGGGUAGUGGAAUUCCUGGUGUAGGAGUGAAAUCCGUAGAUAUCAGGAGGAACACCGGUGGCGAAGGCGGCUACCUGGACCGAUAUUGACGCUGAGACGCGAAAGCGUGGGGAGCAAACAGGAUUAGAUACCCUGGUAGUCCACGCCGUAAACGAUGAGUACUAGGUGUCGCGGGUAUUGACCCCCGCGGUGCCGCAGCUAACGCAUUAAGUACUCCGCCUGGGAAGUACGGCCGCAAGGCUAAA
RNAcentral lists this ribosomal RNA (332 nucleotides) under uncultured bacterium. RNAcentral's name for it is "bacterial SSU rRNA". It matches the Rfam family "Bacterial small subunit ribosomal RNA", at positions 568 to 898 of the family's 1533-position model. The record is from RNAcentral.